GAUGAACGCUGGCGGCGUGCUUAACACAUGCAAGUCGAACGGAAAGGCCCUGCUUUUGUGGGGUGCUCGAGUGGCGAACGGGUGAGUAACACGUGAGUAACCUGCCCUUGACUUUGGGAUAACUUCAGGAAACUGGGGCUAAUACCGGAUAGGAGCUCCUGCUGCAUGGUGGGGGUUGGAAAGUUUCGGCGGUUGGGGAUGGACUCGCGGCUUAUCGGCUUGUUGGUGGGGUAGUGGCUUACCAAGGCUUUGACGGGUAGCAGGCCUGAGGAGGUGACCGGCCACAUUGGGACUGAGGUACGGCCCAGACUCCUACGGGAGGCAGCAGUGGGGAAUAUUGCACAAUGGGCGGAAGCCUGAUGCAGCAACGCCGCGUGCGGGAUGACGGCCUUCGGGUUGUAAACCGCUUUCGCCUGUGACGAAGCGUGAGUGACGGUAAUGGGUAAAGAAGCACCGGCUAACUACGUG
RNAcentral lists this ribosomal RNA (468 nucleotides) under uncultured bacterium. RNAcentral describes it as "partial 16S ribosomal RNA". It matches the Rfam family "Bacterial small subunit ribosomal RNA", at positions 28 to 507 of the family's 1533-position model. The record is from RNAcentral.